Molecule: ribosomal RNA, 689 nt
Filed under: uncultured Bacteroidales bacterium
Lineage: Bacteria; Pseudomonadati; Bacteroidota; Bacteroidia; Bacteroidales
Description: bacterial SSU rRNA
Rfam family: Bacterial small subunit ribosomal RNA
Source: RNAcentral
AACGCUAGCUACAGGCUUAACACAUGCAAGUCGAGGGGUCUCGAAGGAGCUUGCUCCCAAGAGACGACCGGCGCACGGGUGAGUAACGCGUAUCCAACCUGCCCUUCAUAUUGGGAUAGCCUUCCGAAAGGAAGAUUAAUACCGAAUAACAUGAGAGGUUUGCAUGAAUCUCUCAUGAAAGCUCCGGCGAUGAAGGAUGGGGAUGCGUUCCAUUAGGUAGUAGGCGGGGUAACGGCCCACCUAGCCUACGAUGGAUAGGGGUUCUGAGAGGAAGGUCCCCCACACUGGAACUGAGACACGGUCCAGACUCCUACGGGAGGCAGCAGUGAGGAAUAUUGGUCAAUGGGCGCAAACCUGAACCAGCCAAGUAGCGUGAAGGAUGACUGCCCUAUGGGUUGUAAACUUCUUUUAUACGGGAACAAACCCCGGUACGUGUACCGGUCUGCGUGUACCGUAUGAAUAAGCAUCGGCUAACUCCGUGCCAGCAGCCGCGGUGAUACGGAGGAUGCGAGCGUUAUCCGGAUUUAUUGGGUUUAAAGGGAGCGUAGGUGGUCCGUUAAGCCAGCUGUGAAAUACUGUAGCUCAACUACAGCCGUGCAGUUGGAACUGGCAGACUUGAGUGCACUAGAGGAAGGUGGAAUUCGUGGUGUAGCGGUGAAAUGUUUAGAUAUCACGAAGAACUCCGAUUG